This 497-nucleotide ribosomal RNA is filed under the name uncultured bacterium. RNAcentral describes it as "partial 16S ribosomal RNA". It matches the Rfam family "Bacterial small subunit ribosomal RNA", at positions 28 to 507 of the family's 1533-position model. The record is from RNAcentral.
GAUGAACGCUGGCGGCGUGCCUAAUACAUGCAAGUCGAGCGAACAGAUGCGGAGCUUGCUCCUCUGACGUUUGCGGCGGACGGGUGAGUAACACGUGGAUAACCUACCUAUAUUCCUGAGAUAACUUCGGGAAACCGGCGCUAAUCCCGGAUAAUAUAUUGAACCGCAUUGUUCAAUAGUGAAAGACCGUUUUGCUGUCACUUAUAGAUGUAUCCGCGCCGCAUUAGCUAGUUGGUAAGGUAACGGCUUACCAAGGCACCGAGGCGUAGCCGACCUGAGAGGGUGAUCGGCCACGCGGGAACGGAGACACGGACCAGACUCCUGCGGGAGGCAGCAGUAGGGAAUGUGGCGGAAGGGGCGAAUGCCUGACGGAGCAAGGACGCGUGAGGGAGGAAGGUCUUCGGGGGGUAGAACGCUGUUAGGAGGUAAGAACAAAUGUGUAGGGAAGAAGGGAUGUCGUGACGGUACCUGGAGAGAAAGCCACGGCUAACUACGUG